AUACGAAGGGUGCAAGCGUUAAUCGGAAUUACUGGGCGUAAAGCGCGCGUAGGUGGUUUUGUAAGUUGGAGGUGAAAGCCCCGGGCUCAACCUGGGAAUUGCCUCCAAAACUGCAUGACUAGAGUACGGUAGAGGGUAGUGGAAUUUCCUGUGUAGCGGUGAAAUGCGUAGAUAUAGGAAGGAACACCAGUGGCGAAGGCGACUCCCUGGACGGAUACUGACACGAGGGUGCGAAGGCGUGGGGAGCAAACGGGAUUAGAUCCCCUGGUAGUCCACGCCGUAAACGAUGUCAACUAGCCGUUGGGAUCCUUGAGAUCUUAGUGGCGCAGCUAACGCAUUAAGUCGACCGCCUGGGGAGUACGGCCGCAAGGUUAAAACUCAAAUGAAUUGACGGGG
RNAcentral lists this ribosomal RNA (396 nucleotides) under uncultured bacterium. RNAcentral describes it as "partial 16S ribosomal RNA". It matches the Rfam family "Bacterial small subunit ribosomal RNA", at positions 523 to 918 of the family's 1533-position model. The record is from RNAcentral.